RNAcentral lists this transfer RNA (69 nucleotides) under Longzhouacris mirabilis. Its description in RNAcentral is "tRNA-Gln". It matches the Rfam family "tRNA". Rfam says of the family: Transfer RNA (tRNA) molecules are approximately 80 nucleotides in length. Lineage: Eukaryota; Metazoa; Arthropoda; Insecta; Orthoptera; Acrididae. The record is from RNAcentral.
UAUAUUAAAGUGUAUGAUGCACAUUAGUUUUUGAUACUAAAGGAGUUAGUUUAAUUCUAACUUAUAUAA